RNAcentral lists this ribosomal RNA (303 nucleotides) under uncultured bacterium. Its description in RNAcentral is "partial 16S ribosomal RNA". It matches the Rfam family "Bacterial small subunit ribosomal RNA", at positions 507 to 807 of the family's 1533-position model. The record is from RNAcentral.
AGCAGUCGCCGCGGUAAUACAGAGGGUGCGAGCGUUAAUCGGAUUUACUGGGCGUAAAGCGUGCGUAGGCGGCUUCUUAAGUCGGAUGUGAAAUCCCUGAGCUUAACUUAGGAAUUGCAUUCGAUACUGGGAAGCUAGAGUAUGGCAGAGGGGGGUAGAAUUCCACGUGUAGCAGUGAAAUGCGUAGAGAUGUGGAGGAAUACCGAUGGCGAAGGCAGACCCCUGGGCCAAUACUGACGCUCAUGCACGAAAGCGUGGGGAGCAAACAGGAUUAGAUACCCCGGUAGUCCCUGUCUCUUAUAC